RNAcentral lists this transfer RNA (69 nucleotides) under Loxodonta africana (African savanna elephant). It matches the Rfam family "tRNA". From Rfam's summary of the family: Transfer RNA (tRNA) molecules are approximately 80 nucleotides in length. Their secondary structure includes four short double-helical elements and three loops (D, anti-codon, and T loops). The record is from Rfam by way of RNAcentral. Lineage: Eukaryota; Metazoa; Chordata; Mammalia; Proboscidea; Elephantidae.
GCAGUGGUGGCUCAGUGGUAGAAUUCUCACCUUCCAUGUGAGCACCUGGGUUUAAUUCCCAGCAAUGCA